RNAcentral lists this ribosomal RNA (879 nucleotides) under uncultured bacterium. Its description in RNAcentral is "bacterial SSU rRNA". It matches the Rfam family "Bacterial small subunit ribosomal RNA", at positions 37 to 883 of the family's 1533-position model. The record is from RNAcentral.
UGGCGGCGUGCCUAAUACAUGCAAGUCGAACGAAGCUUUCUUUCACCGAAUGCUUGCAUUCACCGAAAGAAGCUUAGUGGCGAACGGGUGAGUAACACGUAGGCAACCUGCCCAAAAGAGGGGGAUAACACUUAGAAACAGGUGCUAAUACCGCAUAACCAUGAACACCGCAUGAUGUUCAUGUAAAAGACGGCUUUUGCUGUCACUUUUGGAUGGGCCUGCGGCGUAUUAACUUGUUGGUGGGGUAACGGCCUACCAAGGUGAUGAUACGUAGCCGAACUGAGAGGUUGAUCGGCCACAUUGGGACUGAGACACGGCCCAAACUCCUACGGGAGGCAGCAGUAGGGAAUCUUCCACAAUGGACGAAAGUCUGAUGGAGCAACGCCGCGUGAAUGAAGAAGGCCUUCGGGUCGUAAAAUUCUGUUGUCAGAGAAGAACGUGCGUGAGAGUAACUGUUCACGUAUUGACGGUAUCUGACCAGAAAGCCACGGCUAACUACGUGCCAGCAGCCGCGGUAAUACGUAGGUGGCGAGCGUUGUCCGGAUUUAUUGGGCGUAAAGGGAACGCAGGCGGUCUUUUAAGUCUGAUGUGAAAGCCUUCGGCUUAACCGAAGUAGUGCAUUGGAAACUGGAAGACUUGAGUGCAGAAGAGGAGAGUGGAACUCCAUGUGUAGCGGUGAAAUGCGUAGAUAUAUGGAAGAACACCAGUGGCGAAAGCGGCUCUCUGGUCUGUAACUGACGCUGAGGUUCGAAAGCGUGGGUAGCAAACAGGAUUAGAUACCCUGGUAGUCCACGCCGUAAACGAUGAGUGCUAAGUGUUGGAGGGUUUCCGCCCUUCAGUGCUGCAGCUAACGCAUUAAGCACUCCGCCUGGGGAGUAC